Long non-coding RNA from Ornithodoros turicata, 408 nucleotides. RefSeq lists it as uncharacterized. Lineage: Eukaryota; Metazoa; Arthropoda; Arachnida; Ixodida; Argasidae. The transcript is spliced from 3 exons. The record is from RefSeq and is a predicted model, not a curated record.
GUAACUCAAUGGCAUUUCCUCUCUCAGGCAAAUAUUGGAAACUGCUAAUUUUGUUUUCCACUUUCCUCGAGCGUAAGAGCCCCAGAAUUCCAGCAAGGCAUCAGUACCAAAUUUGUGCCAAAUUAUUUUGGGAUUUCAUCAGGUGUCACUGCAACUAAGGAACAGCAUUUCAUUGCCUGGAGAAAGGCAUACAGCCACCGAUGAGGAGCAAAAAGCAAACUUUACUCAAAGCAUAACAUCCCUGACAUUGCAGUCUUCCAGCAAGGCAUCACCUGCACUAUCACCUGGAGUUGAAUUUAUUCUAAUGUGCUUGAUGUUAAACAUACCUUAUGACGGUACAUUUUGUUUGUUGAUAGUGUAACAAAGCCAAAGUAGGCUUUAGGAGCAACAAUAAAAAAUAAAAGUCAA